This 622-nucleotide ribosomal RNA is filed under the name Sphaerodes sp. 'pseudofimicola'. RNAcentral's name for it is "eukaryotic LSU rRNA". It matches the Rfam family "Eukaryotic large subunit ribosomal RNA", at positions 1 to 648 of the family's 3401-position model. The record is from RNAcentral. Lineage: Eukaryota; Fungi; Ascomycota; Sordariomycetes; Coronophorales; Ceratostomataceae.
UUGACCUCGGAUCAGGUAGGAAGACCCGCUGAACUUAAGCAUAUCAAUAAGCGGAGGAAAAGAAACCAACAGGGAUUGCCCUAGUAACGGCGAGUGAAGCGGCAACAGCUCAAAUUUGAAAUCUGGCUUCGGCCCGAGUUGUAAUUUGCAGAGGAAGCUUUAGGCGCGGCACCUUCUGAGUCCCCUGGAACGGGGCGCCAUAGAGGGUGAGAGCCCCGUAUAGUUGGAUGCCUAGCCUGUGUAAAGCUCCUUCGACGAGUCGAGUAGUUUGGGAAUGCUGCUCAAAAUGGGAGGUAAAUUUCUUCUAAAGCUAAAUACCGGCCAGAGACCGAUAGCGCACAAGUAGAGUGAUCGAAAGAUGAAAAGCACUUUGAAAAGAGGGUUAAACAGCACGUGAAAUUGUUGAAAGGGAAGCGCUUGUGACCAGACUUGCGCCGGGCUGAUCAUCCGGUGUUCUCACCGGUGCACUCGGCCCGGCACAGGCCAGCAUCGGUUCUCGCGGGGGGAUAAAGGUUCCGGGAACGUAGCUCCUCCGGGAGUGUUAUAGCCCGGGGCGUAAUGCCCUCGCGGGGACCGAGGUUCGCGCAUCUGCAAGGAUGCUGGCGUAAUGGUCAUCAGCGAC